GGGCCCGCACAAGCGGUGGAGCAUGUGGUUUAAUUCGAUGCAACGCGAAAAACCUUACCAGGCCUUGACAUCCUGAGAACUUUCUAGAGAUAGAUUGGUGCCUUCGGGAACUCAGUGACAGGUGUUGCAUGGCUGUCGUCAGCUCGUGUCGUGAGAUGUUGGGUUAAGUCCCGUAACGAGCGCAACCCUUAUCCUUAUUUUGCCAGCACGUAAUGGUGGGAACUCUAAGGAGACUGCCGGUGACAAACCGGAGGAAGGAGAGGAUGAUGUCAAGUCAUCAUGGCCCUUACGGCCUGGGCUACACACGUGCUACAAUGGAGAGUACAGAGGGCCGCAAACCCGCGAGGGGAGCUAA
This 355-nucleotide ribosomal RNA is filed under the name uncultured bacterium. Its description in RNAcentral is "bacterial SSU rRNA". It matches the Rfam family "Bacterial small subunit ribosomal RNA", at positions 917 to 1271 of the family's 1533-position model. The record is from RNAcentral.